Molecule: long non-coding RNA, 857 nt
Organism: Capsicum annuum
Lineage: Eukaryota; Viridiplantae; Streptophyta; Magnoliopsida; Solanales; Solanaceae
Exons: 4
Source: RefSeq, a predicted model, not a curated record
GCUUCCUUCCUCAAUCUUCAUGGAUUUUCAAAUUGGAACUAAGCUGCAUGAAUACCGUGGGGUUUAAUAUUAUUUUCAUACCAGGUAAAUAAGUCUUUUUUUAGUUUUCUUUUUCAUUAUAUUCAUUGCCACUUGUUCCCACUGCAGUCAACAACCUACCCGUGGGAUAUCGCGUCAUGCAGCAACCUCCAGUUCCAGCUGCAGGUCAACCUCAUCUUGAUCCAAUGGGCAUGUCCAGCUGCCACGUGGUUAAUGGUGUGCCUGCCCAGGAAACUAUCAUCCUAUGAUGAAUUCAGGAAACAAGCAGCACGGUGCACAGAUCAUUCCGUGUCCACUCAGGAUCCCGAGAAGGGUCGAACUCCUAGGUGGUACAAUGUAGAUAGUCUACCGUGAUGCAAACAUCCGCUGUUGAUUUCACGAUUCAAGUCACACAAGGACAACUUUAUCCUCCCUUGAAGAGACGACGACUCCCCUUGUUGUUUCGUGAUUAAUUGGAUAUUUUUGAAGACUUGACUUUUGCACGAAAUAUAGAGGCCGCAGAUGAGGCAAAACAGCUUAUUCUCAAGGACAAUAAAUAUGCUCGCAGCGAUAAUGAGCUCAAUUGGGGUUUUAGCUGAUUCACAUAGAAUUUCUCGGUGACAUUGGAUGAACUUGAUUUGUUGCAGAACAUAAAACAUGUCGGCCCAUGGCUUGUCGAAUUGGUGUCAAAUAUGUCAAUCAUUCACCUCUCGCCCUUUUCAUCGCCAAGAAAAGAGCUGUCUACUUUAAUACUAUAUUGUUUGUGUGAUUGUAACUAAAGGAAUAUAAUACCUUUUGUCUAUCAAUGACAAAGUCACUUUAGCUAGUCACUUUAGCUA